GGCCUUGUAGCUCAGCUGGUAGAGUAUGAACGUACAUGGAGCAGGUGGCGUGCAUGCGUGGGUUUGAAUCCCACCGAGGCUA
Molecule: transfer RNA, 82 nt
Filed under: Echinostoma caproni
Lineage: Eukaryota; Metazoa; Platyhelminthes; Trematoda; Plagiorchiida; Echinostomatidae
Rfam family: tRNA
About the family: Transfer RNA (tRNA) molecules are approximately 80 nucleotides in length. Their secondary structure includes four short double-helical elements and three loops (D, anti-codon, and T loops).
Source: Rfam by way of RNAcentral